CUUCAAUUAUGAUGCAUGUAGAGGCAUUUUAACCUCAAUUUGAACAAAGUAGGGUUACAUUCACCAUCUUACAGCUGAAUUUAGA
RNAcentral lists this small RNA (85 nucleotides) under Salix viminalis (osier). Lineage: Eukaryota; Viridiplantae; Streptophyta; Magnoliopsida; Malpighiales; Salicaceae. The record is from RNAcentral.